RNAcentral lists this ribosomal RNA (1511 nucleotides) under Giesbergeria anulus. RNAcentral's name for it is "bacterial LSU rRNA". It matches the Rfam family "Bacterial large subunit ribosomal RNA", at positions 1 to 1563 of the family's 2925-position model. Lineage: Bacteria; Pseudomonadati; Pseudomonadota; Betaproteobacteria; Burkholderiales; Comamonadaceae. The record is from RNAcentral.
AUAGGGUCAAGUGACUAAGAGCAUGUGGUGGAUGCCUUGGCGAUGAUAGGCGACGAAAGACGUGAAAGCCUGCGAUAAGCUUCGGGGAGCUGGCAAAUAAGCUUUGAUCCGGAGAUUUCUGAAUGGGGAAACCCACCCUUCGGGGUAUCGCUCACUGAAUACAUAGGUGUGCGAAGCGAACCGGGUGAACUGAAACAUCUCAGUAGCUCGAGGAAAAGACAUCAACCGAGAUUCCGAAAGUAGUGGCGAGCGAAAUCGGAGAAGCCUUGCAGUGAUAGCACAAAGAUUAACAAAACGGAAUGGAAAGUCCGGCCAUAGUAGGUGAUAGCCCUGUAUGUGAAAAUCUCUGUGUGGUACUAGGCUGCAGAUAAGUAGGGCGGGGCACGAGAAACCUUGUCUGAAUAUGGGGGGACCAUCCUCCAAGGCUAAAUACUCAUCAUCGACCGAUAGUGAACCAGUACCGUGAGGGAAAGGCGAAAAGAACCCCGGGAGGGGAGUGAAAUAGAUCCUGAAACCGCAUGCUUACAAAAAGUAGGAGCCCGCAAGGGUGACUGCGUACCUUUUGUAUAAUGGGUCAGCGACUUACAUUCAGUGGCAAGGUUAACCGAAUAGGGAAGCCGUAGAGAAAUCGAGUCCGAAUAGGGCGAACAUAGUCGCUGGGUGUAGACCCGAAACCAAGUGAUCUACCCAUGGCCAGGAUGAAGGUGCCGUAACAGGUACUGGAGGUCCGAACCCACUAGUGUUGCAAAACUAGGGGAUGAGCUGUGGAUAGGGGCGAAAGGCUAAACAAACUUGGAAAUAGCUGGUUCUCUCCGAAAACUAUUUAGGUAGUGCCUCAAGUAUUACCUUCGGGGGUAGAGCACUGUUUAGGCUAGGGGGUCAUGGCGACUUACCAAACCUAUGCAAACUCCGAAUACCGAAGAGUACAGCUUGGGAGACAGAGCACCGGGUGCUAACGUCCGGACUCAAGAGGGAAACAACCCAGACCGCCAGCUAAGGUCCCUAAAAUUGGCUAAGUGGGAAACGAAGUGGGAAGGCUAAAACAGUCAGGAUGUUGGCUUAGAAGCAGCCAUCAUUUAAAGAAAGCGUAAUAGCUCACUGAUCGAGUCGUCCUGCGCGGAAGAUGUAACGGGGCUAAGCCAGUUACCGAAGCUGCGGAUUUGCAAUUUAUUGCAAGUGGUAGGAGAGCGUUCUGUAAGCCUGUGAAGGUGUCUGGUAACGGAUGCUGGAGGUAUCAGAAGUGCGAAUGCUGACAUGAGUAGCGUUAAAGGGGGUGAAAAGCCCCCUCGCCGUAAGCGCAAGGUUUUCUACGCAACGUUCAUCGGCGUAGAGUGAGUCGGCCCCUAAGGCGAGGCAGAGAUGCGUAGCUGAUGGGAAACAGGUCAAUAUUCCUGUACCGAUGUGUAGUGCGAUGUGGGGACGGAGAAGGUUAGCUCAGCCAACUGUUGGAUAUGUUGGUUCAAGCCUGUAGUCGUGCCCGGUAGGCAAAUCCGCCGGGCUUAGAUGAGGGG